UGGGGAAUAUUGGACAAUGGGCGCAAGCCUGAUCCAGCAAUGCCGCGUGUGUGAAGAAGGCCUUCGGGUUGUAAAGCACUUUUAUCAGGAGCGAAACGCUGUCGGCUAAUACCCGGCGGAACUGACGGUACCUGAGGAAUAAGCACCGGCUAACUUCGUGCCAGCAGCCGCGGUAAUACGAAGGGUGCAAGCGUUAAUCGGAAUUACUGGGCGUAAAGCGUGCGUAGGCGGUUUCUUAAGUCUGCUGUGAAAUCCCCGGGCUCAACCUGGGAAUGGCAGUGGAUACUGGGAGGCUAGAGUGUGUCAGAGGGUGGUGGAAUUCCCGGUGUAGCGGUGAAAUGCGUAGAGAUCGGGAGGAACAUCAGUGGCGAAGGCGGCCACCUGGGACAACACUGACGCUGAGGCACGAAAAGCGUGGGGAGCAAAACAGGAUUAGAUACCCUGGUAGUCCACGCCCUAAAACGAUGCGAACUGGAUGUUGGUCUCAACUCGGAGAUCAGUGUCGAAGCUAACGCGUUAAGUUCGCCGCCUGGGGAGUACGGUCGCAAGACUGAAACUC
Molecule: ribosomal RNA, 559 nt
Filed under: uncultured bacterium
Lineage: Bacteria
Description: partial 16S ribosomal RNA
Rfam family: Bacterial small subunit ribosomal RNA
Source: RNAcentral